RNAcentral lists this ribosomal RNA (1988 nucleotides) under Myxobolus algonquinensis. RNAcentral describes it as "SSU rRNA". It matches the Rfam family "Eukaryotic small subunit ribosomal RNA". The record is from RNAcentral. Lineage: Eukaryota; Metazoa; Cnidaria; Myxozoa; Bivalvulida; Myxobolidae.
AAGAUUAAGCCAUGUAUGUGCCAAGUUCAUACGUUAGACGUGAGACUGCGGACGGCUCAGUAAAUCAGUGACAAUCUAUUUGAUUUUCUCUCCCAUUGGAUAACCGUGGGAAAUCUAAAGCUAAUACGUGCGGUAUCUUGGCGUAUCUUCGGGUACGUCAAAGCAUUUAUUAGACUAAACCACUUACUAUGCUCCGGCAUAGUAAGGGAAUCUGGAUAACUCUGCUGAUCGUAUGGCCUAGUGCCGGCGACGUUUCAAUUGAGUUUCUGCCCUAUCCAACUUGUUGGUAAGGUAUUGGCUUACCAAGGUUGCAACGGGUAACGGGAAUCAGGGUUCGAUUCCGGAGAGGGAGCCUGAGAAACGGCUACCACAUCCAAGGAAGGCAACAGGCGCGCAAAUUACCCAAUCUAGACAGUAGGAGGUGGUGAAGAGAAUUACUAAAUGGUGGUCUUAUUGAUCAUUUGUUUGGAAUGAACGUAACUUAAGAAAUUCGUUGAGAAACAACUGGAGGGCAAGUCCUGGUGCCAGCAGCCGCGGUAAUUCCAGCUCCAGUAGUUUGCUUUAAAGUUGUUGCGUUUAAAACGCUCGUAGUUGGAUCACGCAGUGAUGUUCAGUAAUCUUUAGAGGGGUGUCGUCAAAUGUAUCCGUCACGUACGGCCAUUUGACGUCACCCGCUUCAGAUAUCAUGCUGGACGUCGCUAGUUGCACGUGAGAUAGAUUGUUGGCCUUGAAUGUGCCGGUAUUCUUGUCUUGCGGGGUGUGCCUUGAAUAAAACAGAGUGCUUAAAGCAGGUUAUCGCCUGAAUGUUAUAGCAUGGAACGAACAAUCGUGUAUAUGUGUGCGUCUCUGGGCAGUUGUGAACCUUUGGUUUACAGUUGUUCGAGAUGCGCACGGCACCCACCAAAAUAUGGCUGUUGGUUCCAUAUACGGUGAUGAUUAACAGGAGCGGUUGGGGGCAUCGGUAUUUGGCCGCGAGAGGUGAAAUUCUUAGACCGGCCAAGGACUAACAAAUGCAAAGGCACUUGUCUAGACCGUUUCCAUUAAUCAAGAACGAAAGUGGGAGGUUCGAAGACGAUCAGAUACCGUCAUAGUUCCCACCGUAAACUAUGCCGACCUGGGAUCAGUUUAGAGAUGUUACAAGCUCUAGAUUGGUCCCCCUGGGAAACCUAAAGUUUUUCGGUUACGGGGAGAGUAUGGUCGCAAGGCUGAAACUUAAAGGAAUUGACGGAAGGGCACCACCAGGGGUGGAGCCUGCGGCUUAAUUUGACUCAACACGGGGAAACUUACCUGGUCCGGACAUCGAUAGGAUAAACAGAUCAAUAGCUCUUUUUUGAUCCGAUGAGUGGUGGUGCAUGGCCGUUCUUAGUUCGUGGAGUGAUCUGUCAGUUUAAUUACGGUAACGAACGAGACCACAGUCCCCAUUUGAGAGAUGAAAGUAGGCGUCGAUUCACUCUGCCUCACAGUGGAGCGAAUCGGCGCUGUAGGCAUAGUUGUGGAAGGAAUUUGGUGCAGUGGGGUAACUUGCUGUGCCUUUUUUUGACACGCGGCUCUCCCUUUCAUCACACAGAGACUGGCCUCGGUUGGUCGCUGUCUCAUGGGGAGACAACGAGGUAUAANCAAGCUCGAGGAAGAGUGGCUAUAACAGGUCAGUGAUGCCCUUCGAUGUUCAGGGCUGCACGCGCGCUACAAUGAUAACGUCAGCGAGUGUCUGCGUCGAAAGACGUGGGUAAUCUUUAAUCGUUAUCGUGAUGGGGAUUGACCGUUGUAAUUGUCGGUCAUGAAAGAGGAAUCCCUAGUAUGCACAUUUUAUUAGAAUGUGCAGAUUGAGUCCCUGCCCUUUGUACACACCGCCCGUCGCUACUACCGAGUGAAUGGUGUCAUGAUGCGCUGGGACUGGACGUUAGAUGGGUGUAACAGCUCGUCCGACGCUGGGAUCAGCGUAAAAUGGCGACAUUUCGAGGAAGUAAAAGUCGUAACAAGGUUUCCGU